This 405-nucleotide ribosomal RNA is filed under the name uncultured Eubacteriales bacterium. Its description in RNAcentral is "uncultured Clostridiales bacterium partial 16S ribosomal RNA". It matches the Rfam family "Bacterial small subunit ribosomal RNA", at positions 355 to 774 of the family's 1533-position model. Lineage: Bacteria; Bacillati; Bacillota; Clostridia; Eubacteriales. The record is from RNAcentral.
UGGGGAAUAUUGCACAAUGGGGGAAACCCUGAUGCAGCAACGCCGCGUGAAGGAUGAAGGUCUUCGGAUCGUAAACUUCUUUGAUAAGGGAAGAAAAAAAUGACGGUACCUUAAAAACAAGCCACGGCUAACUACGUGCCAGCAGCCGCGGUAAUACGUAGGUGGCAAGCGUUAUCCGGAAUUAUUGGGUGUAAAGGGCGAGUAGGCGGGAUUUUAAGUCAGACGUGAAAACUAUAAGCUUAACUUAUAGAGUGCAUUUGAAACUGAAAUUCUUGAGUAAUGGAGGGGCAGGUAGAAUUCCCAGUGUAGCGGUGAAAUGCGUAGAUAUUGGGAGGAAUACCAGUGGCGAAGGCGACCUGCUGGACAUUUACUGACGCUGAGGCGCGAAAGCGUGGGGAGCAAACA